RNAcentral lists this ribosomal RNA (462 nucleotides) under uncultured soil bacterium. RNAcentral's name for it is "bacterial SSU rRNA". It matches the Rfam family "Bacterial small subunit ribosomal RNA", at positions 26 to 473 of the family's 1533-position model. The record is from RNAcentral.
AGAUUGAACGCUGGCGGCAUGCCUUACACAUGCAAGUCGAACGGUAACGCGGGGCAACCUGGCGACGAGUGGCGAACGGGUGAGUAAUGCAUCGGAACGUGCCCAGUAGUGGGGGAUAGCUCGGCGAAAGCCGGAUUAAUACCGCAUACGACCUAAGGGUGAAAGCGGGGGACCGUAAGGCCUCGCGCUAUUGGAGCGGCCGAUGUCAGAUUAGGUUGUUGGUGGGUAAAAGCCUACCAAGCCGACGAUCUGUAGCUGGUCUGAGAGGACGACCAGCCACACUGGGACUGAGACACCGGCCCAGACCUCCGUACGGGAGCAGCAGGUGGGGUAAUUUGGGAACAAGGUGGGGGACCUAACCCGUGACUACCAGCCAGUCGCCGGCGUGGACGGGAAGACGGUCCGUUCGGGUUACGGUAAACCGUCGUUUUGUACGAAGGAAGAACGCUACGUACGGUUAAC